UUUUAGGCAAGGAACAAAAGUAACUCAUCUUCUUAGUUUAAGCCACACAAAAAUUCUAUUUUCAGUUUAUUUUCUUCCUUAGCUCACUUCUUCUUUUCAUACCACCAAAAUUCCUCCCAGAAGAGGUGACGAGAAUUGGUUCCAAAGGAACUCAAACUGAAGAUCAAUUCCUGAUAAACAGGAUUCAUUUUAAUGAAGAAGAUGGAAUUUGAGAUUAGUUUAUAGCUCAACUCAUCCAAGAUUAUCCGACGGAAGAAUUUUCAUACCCACCUGAUGAUAUUUGUCUUGACCUAGUCUUGGAGUUUUACCAAAACAUCAACUCAAUCACAAAUAUUUCUAUGGUGAGAGGAAGACCUAGUAAUUUUUUUGGUUGAAGCUAUUAAUGGUCUUCAUUUUCUUGAAGAAGUUGAUGACAGAGAAAAAUAAUGCAUUUUCAAGAAACCCCAAACUGAAUUUGGUGGAGUCAAAUUUAUGUCCAAGAGGAGCUAAUUGUGCAUAUAAUUCCGAAAGGCAAAAAAGUAAACUUCUUCGCAAGAAUAUUGGCUACUGUGCUAGGCCAAUCUUGAGCUUUGUUGGCAGUAGGUUACUCCCAAACUCACAACAAUAAACUUCUUCGCAAGAAUAUUGGCUACUGUGCUAAGAUAAUCUUGAGCUUUAUUGGUAAUAGGUGCAUUAAAAUUACAAGAGGAAAAUCCUCCAAUAAAAGAGAGCAAAAACCAUUGUGGAAGGGAAAGAAAAAGGAAAGGGUGUGAUAGUGGAUGGAGAUACUAGUUAUGAUUCUGAUGAAAAAUGGGUGCCCUGUGAUAAAAGGAGAAGGAGAAGGUGAUGAAGGAAUAAAAUAUGUUUCUUCCUCACGGGACAAUCUCAUCCGGGAGGAUAAAGCAUUUUUAAGUGUGGGAAAAUUAGUAGUCUAUUUAAGUUAUUUUUAUUUCUUCUUAAGAAAUUCCUUUUGUUAUGCAGCUUGGUGUUUUUAGAAUAUACUAGUUUUAGGGUACGCGCUUUGCGCGUGUAUAAUAUAUUCUUGAAUAUACGAUUUUGAGA
Nicotiana tabacum (common tobacco) is the source of this 1041-nucleotide non-coding RNA. Lineage: Eukaryota; Viridiplantae; Streptophyta; Magnoliopsida; Solanales; Solanaceae. The record is from RefSeq and is a predicted model, not a curated record.